RNAcentral lists this long non-coding RNA (216 nucleotides) under Prunus persica (peach). RNAcentral describes it as "long non-coding RNA (PPER_LNC004503)". Lineage: Eukaryota; Viridiplantae; Streptophyta; Magnoliopsida; Rosales; Rosaceae. The record is from RNAcentral.
CAUAUUAAAAAAGAUGAUUAACUUCUAUUUUUUUGGGUUGAAAUUUAGUUUCAAAAAGAAACCAAAAGAGAUCAGAUAACAAAACAGAAAGUAGAGAUAAACAAUACACCGUGCAGAGAAUAGAAUACAAACAUAAAGUAGAAUACAAACAGAGCCCGGUCAAACCCAUUAUAUAAAGAAUCAGAUAACAAAACAAAAGUAGAGAUAGAUCGAUCA